AUGAUUCCCCCNGUAAGGGCGACUGAACGGGGAAGAGCCCAGCACCGAAUCCCUCGUCAUUCAGGCGUUGGGACCUGUGGUGUAUAAGAGACCAUGUCCGGCGCUAGUGCAGUUCCUAAGUUCCCUUGAUCGGGACCACAGCCCAUAGAAGGUGCAAGGCCUGUGCGGACAGCGCUGGUGUCGGUAUAUGCCUCUUUGGAGUCGGGUUGCUUGAAAGUGCAGCUCAAAGUGGGUGGUAAACCUCAUCUAAGGCUAAAUAUGACCAUGAGACCGAUAGCAAACAAGUACCGUGAGGGAAAGUUGAAAAGAACUUUNAA
This 317-nucleotide ribosomal RNA is filed under the name Chaperiopsis rubida. Its description in RNAcentral is "eukaryotic LSU rRNA". It matches the Rfam family "Eukaryotic large subunit ribosomal RNA", at positions 71 to 380 of the family's 3401-position model. Lineage: Eukaryota; Metazoa; Bryozoa; Gymnolaemata; Cheilostomatida; Chaperiidae. The record is from RNAcentral.